UAGAAGAUAGUAUAACGGAAAAACAAAGAAAUUUGAAUUCUUAAAUGUAAGUUCGACUCUUACUCUCCUAA
This 71-nucleotide transfer RNA is filed under the name Echinaster callosus. RNAcentral's name for it is "tRNA-Gln". It matches the Rfam family "tRNA". Rfam says of the family: Transfer RNA (tRNA) molecules are approximately 80 nucleotides in length. The record is from RNAcentral. Lineage: Eukaryota; Metazoa; Echinodermata; Asteroidea; Spinulosida; Echinasteridae.